UUNAGCCGAGGACACCNCUGACAGCGGUGGCUAAUACCGGAUGUGCCGAAAGGUGAAAGAUUUAUUGCCUGAAGAUGAGCUCGCGUCUGAUUAGCUAGUUGGUGUGGUAAGAGCGCACCAAGGCGACGAUCAGUAGCUGGUCUGAGAGGAUGAUCAGCCACACUGGGACUGAGACACGGCCCAGACUCCUACGGGAGGCAGCAGUGGGGAAUUUUCCGCAAUGGGCGAAAGCCUGACGGAGCAAUACCGCGUGAGGGAGGAAGGCUCUUGGGUUGUAAACCUCUUUUCUCAGGGAAUAAAAAAAUGAAGGUACCUGAGGAAUAAGCAUCGGCUAACUCCGUGCCAGCAGCCGCGGUAAUACGGAGGAUGCAAGCGUUAUCCGGAAUGAUUGGGCGUAAAGCGUCCGCAGGUGGCACUGUAAGUCUGCUGUUAAAGAGCAAGGCUCAACCUUGUAAAGGCAGUGGAAACUACAGAGCUAGAGUACGUUCGGGGCAGAGGGAAUUCCUGGUGUAGCGGUGAAAUGCGUAGAGAUCAGGAAGAACACCGGUGGCGAAAGCGCUCUGCUAGGCCGUAACUGACACUGAGGGACGAAAGCUAGGGGAGCGAAUGGGAUUAGUCCCCCCCUAUAUAGCG
Molecule: ribosomal RNA, 633 nt
Filed under: Nostoc sp. LCRNK18
Lineage: Bacteria; Bacillati; Cyanobacteriota; Cyanophyceae; Nostocales; Nostocaceae
Description: bacterial SSU rRNA
Rfam family: Bacterial small subunit ribosomal RNA
Source: RNAcentral